UACAGAGGUCUCAAGCGUUGUUCGGAUUCAUUGGGCGUAAAGGGUGUGUAGGUGGCGCGCUAAGUCGGGUGUGAAAUUUCGGAGCUUAACUCCGAAACUGCAUUCGAUACUGGCGUGCUUGAGGACUGGAGAGGAGACUGGAAUUUACGGUGUAGCAGUGAAAUGCGUAGAGAUCGUAAGGAAGACCAGUGGCGAAGGCGGGUCUCUGGACAGUUCCUGACGCUGAGGCACGAAGGCCAGGGGAGCAAACGGG
This 253-nucleotide ribosomal RNA is filed under the name uncultured bacterium. RNAcentral describes it as "partial 16S ribosomal RNA". It matches the Rfam family "Bacterial small subunit ribosomal RNA", at positions 524 to 776 of the family's 1533-position model. The record is from RNAcentral.